Molecule: long non-coding RNA, 924 nt
Filed under: Chrysolophus pictus (golden pheasant)
Lineage: Eukaryota; Metazoa; Chordata; Aves; Galliformes; Phasianidae
Description: lncRNA (ENSCPIG00010004320.1)
Source: RNAcentral
AUCAGUAAUUUGACAGUAAGCUUCUUCCUGGUCCAUAGCACAUGAGUCUUAAUUUGGAUUAUAGAUUUGUUAUAGUCUACCUGUCCAUAAUCAGUCAAGUUUUCAGGAAAUGAUAGCCCUGUUUAGAAAUACAAGUCAGUACUUCUGCAAUAUACUGCUUUUUUGGCAGAAUUUGAAGUUUUAUCCAGGAUUAUGAGCAACGAUUACUAUUAUUUUUAGAAGUAGUAGUAGAAUAAAACACUUUGUUUUGUUUUGUUUUCUUCUGUUUUGUUUUCCAGUGUUUGUUUUCUUGAUCCGUAUACCUUUGGCAAAAUAUGUUCAGUUUUUUGUUCAUGGAGCAACAGGCUGAUGUCCAAGGAUCUUUGCCUUUAUACUUAGGGCAGUCAGAAGUGGCCACUGAGCAUGACAGUACCAUUCUGCAUCAAUGACUUCUCCAUUAUUCAAGGUGCUCUGCUUGAGAGACACAGGGAUCUCUGUCCAGGAGAAAAUUCAGUGACAAAACUCCCUAUGUGACAUAUGACGAUAUUUCUACAGUGCUUACUCCAUAUGCAAUUUCAGGUCCCCAGAUUCUCUAGCCAUAUCAACAUAUAGGGAAGCAUAAUCUUUUGCCAGUUUUCCAAGUGAAAUUUUAUGGGUACAGAUGCAAGCACACUGGAGAAAAGAGAAGAGGAAAGCAGAGCUCUCUCAGAGGAAGAUAUGCUGAAAAGAUAGAUACCCAGAAGUCUCCAGUAUUCCUCAUGUUAUUUACAAUUCUGGGUGAACUGGGGGGAGAGCUCUCUGCCCUUCUAGGAGGACAGCCAUGAGGACCUGCCAGUAAAAUCUCAGACUCUCUCUCCUCCUUUGUUUUUUGUUCAUUUGAUUUAUUAUUCCUAAUUAUUCUGUAUUAUCUCAUAUUCCUUUUAAUAAAUUUGUUCUCUUAUCUCA